GAUGAAGAACGUAGCGAAAUGCGAUAAGUAGUGUGAAUUGCAGAAUUCAGUGAAUCAUCGAAUCUUUGAACGCACAUUGCGCCCUUUGGUAUUCCUUAGGGCAUGCCUGUUCGCGCGUCAUUUGAAACCUCAAGCUCAGCUUGGUGUUGGGUGUCUGUCCCCGCCUCACCGCGGGGACUCGCCUCAAAAUCAUUGGCGGCCGGUACGUUGGCUUCGAGCGCAGCAGAAACGCGAACUCGAGGCCCGGCGGAUCGGCGACCAGAAGUCACUUCUUCACAGUUUGACCUCGGAUCAGGUAGGGAUACCCGCUGAACUUAAGCAUAUCAAUAAGCGGAGGA
This 338-nucleotide unclassified non-coding RNA is filed under the name soil metagenome. Its description in RNAcentral is "partial contains 5.8S ribosomal RNA, internal transcribed spacer 2, and large subunit ribosomal RNA". The stretch from base 1 to 120 matches the Rfam family "5.8S ribosomal RNA", at positions 35 to 154 of the family's 154-position model. The record is from RNAcentral.